UGAGAUAAAGAUGGUUUAAUAAGAAAGAAAAGGAAAGAAAAAAAAUACAAAAACAAGUGAUGCACAGUGCAAUUGCCCACCACCGGCCAACCGAUGCCCAGCCAGUCCCUGAGCAAUGCUAGCCACCCCCAAACAGCCAACUCCCCCAGCGUCAUUGCUGAGCAUGGUACCAUAUGGUACAGGACAUCCCUUUGGACAUUCUGGGUCAGCUGUCCUGGUGCUGUCCUCUCCCACCUCCUCACUAGCUGGGCAAGUCCUUGCCCAAGUCCUUGGCUCUGUGCAGGCAUACCCAACAACAACUAAACAUCCCUGUGCUAUCUCCAUUUUUCUCAUUGUAAGUCCAAUACUCAGCACUACACCAGCUACACUGAUGAAAAUUAACUAUCCCAGUUCAAGCCAGAACACUCUGAGAGCUACAUUUAUGGCUGGUAACUAGUUUUACACUUGGCCAAGACAAGCUUCACAUUCCAGUUUAGCUUAUCUGUAGGGAAACGUGCCCACAAGUCCAGGCAGAAAGAUUGUGGCCUAGACACAAUACUCCUCACAUAUUGCAAGAGAUUUCUUUUGUGGGAUGAAGUUCUCAGUGCUUAAUGGUGAGGAUCACAUGGAUCUGUGCUGAACAGAUGGAAGAGAUAUUGCAUAAGGCCCAGUUCUUGUGUUCGUUGAUUACUGCCUGUUAGCCUUUAUCUCAGACUCUUGGAAACACCAGCUUUCUAUCAAAAGGAAAUGUCACCACUUUAGCUAAUAGACUUUUUUUUUUUCCCUUUCCCUUGCAAGAGACUCUAAUUGACUUUUUUCCAGUUGAAUACAGCUUUAAAAAUGAAUAUUUAAUGUCAGGCAUUAAAGUUCCAACAUGGCUUGCAAUGAAAUCUUGACUCACACAGAUGCUUGUCAAGAGAAAGAAAAGGCAGACCGUGCUUCCCUCCCCUCCAAGACACAGAAAAGGAUUUGUCUUGGUGCAGCUCUGCAAUACAGGUGAUUUCAUAUCUGAAAAGAGAUUUACCCUUCCAGCCACUCCUGCAAGGCUCUGAGCUAUGGGGCAGCUCCAUCCAGCAGCCGUUGCCGCCAGCAGCCACACACUUCAUUUGGAGAAGUGCUGAAGCUGGCAGGCCUGGGGCUCACUCCCGUCCAGAAGUCAAGGAGACGUGCCAGUUGCCAGCAAUUAAUAUUUUGCAUUUUUCCCAGCUGAAUAAUUCCCCAGCUUUGUAGAUCAAGCAAGAGAAAUACUAAAAUUGCUUUGCAGUACUAAAUGCCUGGAAGCAAGUGGAGGACUUAUAACAAAUCUGUCGAACAACUUGUUUAAUUUUGAGUGUCUGCACAAACCCCUCGACUGCAGGCUUAAAGUGAAAGCAUAUGCCUUGUGCAGUAGCAACUCAAAUAUGUGCAGAAUCAGGGCCAUUUUGAGGCACUGAUCAUAUUACAUUGCCAUCUAUAUCAGAGGUUCCUGCCAUUCCAUGGCAGCCUGAGAGCUGAUGUCAGACUUCCUCAAGAGAGAAGCAUUAAUUUCGUGAAGUGCCAUGGAUAACACGGCCCUUCCUGAAACCAAUGAGUCAGUCUGUACUGCAAAGUGUGGAGAUUUCCAUCUAUCUUGAAUACGGUGAACACUGCUUUUGUCCAGAGGAAUAGCUUACCCUUCCUGGUAACCAACUAAACAAUUAGCUGUCUGUGCAAAUCAUACAAGGAACAUUUGAAUACAGCUAAUUGCUAAAAAUAGCCCAACUUUCAGCAGUAGAAGAGCUGACAGUUCUUCCAAGUCACGUUAAAAAUACUGCUUUAGCAUGGCUUCAGUGGGAGCUGCAUCCUGUGAGCCCUGAGAGCAGAGUGGGACUGCGUCAUCCCUGGGUGGGAUUCCUCUAACAUCUGGUAUGACUUGUUGGUCCCACGGCUCAGCAGGAGGGAAGAUUUGAGCUCUGAAAAUAUGCCUGCAACAACAAUCGAGUACUUUGUGCCUGCGUUUUUAAGUCUCUUCACAGCUUUGCAUUUUUUUUUUCCAAGCCUAGUUCAUGGAUAUAUCUCUGAUUAUUAGGUCAAACCUUCUGGUUUCUUUGGAGUGCAAGCCUGGAUAUCUGAAGUCAUGGGAAUGACAUGCUGAUGGCUGUUGGCAUCGGCUGAUGAAGAACAAGUCACAAGUGGUGAAUUCCAGCUAGCAAUCCCUCUGGGCUGGGGACUUCAGCGAUGAUGAAAAAUGAAAGCAACGUACUGACAUCACCCAUUUCAGCAUGUGAGCUUGGUGAAUUUUUGUUAUACCACCAGAAUUUGGUUACAACGGGAAAGGCAGCUGUGAAUGUCUUUGUACAUUAGAGGCUAGACUGCUAGAAGUCAUCCCUGGAGGUGUUCAAGACCAGGCUGGAUGAGGCGCUGAGCAGUCUGAUCUAGUGCCUGGUUUAGUGGUUGGAAACCCUGUCCACAGCAGGGCACUGGAACUGGAUGAUAUUUGAGGCUCCUUCCAACCCCAGCCAUUCUAUGAUUCUACAGUAAGUUUUAAACAGAUUUUCAGAUUUUUUUCCUCUAUUCCUGAUCUAGAAGUCAAAAGAUGACUACAUUUUUGGGUAUAAGCAUUUGAAAUGUCAGGAGGAUGUGAUUAUCACCUAAUGUUAGGAGGAAGCUUCUGAGAACAGCUGGGGUCUGCUACUCUGGAUAGAGGAACUCAUGCAAAAAGCGUGAGUGCUGUGCCUUAAAAUCCAAACCCACGAUGUGACUGUGCUUCAGUGUUGAAUCUUGCUCCUGAAGUUACUCUUAAAUCAAACAUUCUAUGUUAGCUCAGAUGUACUUUGAAUCUGGAAAGUAUGCCUAGCUCACAGAUUAUUAAGGACAGUGCAACUUGAAUAGGACCGAAGGUGGAAGGGAUGUGCCCACACAAAAUAUCCACUGCACAAGAGUGCUGACACAUUGAUAGCCCUAAAGGAGCAACACUACAGUCACUGUGUGAUGGCUGAAUAGCCUUUUGCUAACCUACUGCUACAUCUCAACGUUUUGAUUCCUCUCCAUAUCAAACACCGUGCAUCUGAAAAUUGGAUACCAUUGCCAUUCAACACAUCUAACUAGAGAGCAAAGCUUAAGGGGAAAGAAAGAACAAACUUACAUCAACCAAGAAAGAAAUUCCUCAUUUACCAUCCAGUGCAAGUGCUGAGCACUCUGUUGUAUUGUGGGAUGAAAAAUAAAUCUGAAGAGACGCUGCCUCAUAGGUAAAGAUCAGAUCCAAAGUUCUGUAAAGGAGGGAGGGAAGGAGAAAGGCUUCCGUCUAUGAACCUAACACAAGAAAUAAACCAGACUCACUAAAGCACAUGCUGGAUGUGAUGAUGUGACAUUUGCUGAAAUUGUGUGCCAGAGGUUUGGAGGAAAGGAUGCACUCAGGAUGCUGUGGCUGUGGGCAGUUGGCACACAGCUGUUCCUGCUGCCCUCUGGAAGGAACACGAGCAGUGCGUGCGUUGCAAGUACAAAUGGGAGUAAGAAUAGCUCCAACACAGCAGGGAGCGGUGCUGGAGAAGAGAGGAAUUUCUGCUUAAAAGCAGGCUGAAUUCGUAGAGUCUUAGUGUUUCUGACAGCUAACCUCAAUAAAGUAGAUGAAUAACAUAUAUGUCAGAGUAAGAAACCCUAACGAUUCAAGAAGGGAGUUAGAAAACUAAGAGGUGAGCUUGUUGAGCAGCAGCCAAAGAGAGUAAUGACUGGUUGGAUGGAUACUGGGAAAAAUUUCUUCUCAGAAAGAGUGGUUGUACAUUGGCACAGGCUGCCCAGGGAGGUGGUGGAGGCACUGUCCCUGGAGGGGUUCAAGGAAAGGAUAGAUACAGCACUGAGGGACGUGGUAUAAAGCAGUCACAGGUGUGGACCGAUGGUCAGACUAGGUGAUCUUUUUGGUCUUUCCAGCCUUCGUGGUUCUAUGAGGCCUUGGCGCAGUGGCACAGAGGACUCAAGUGUGUCCCAGCCACAUCUCCUUUCUCAUGAUCAAGGUAAGCCUGGCCUAGCAGCAGCAUCUAAUCAUUUAAAAAUGAAAUGUUUCAAUUCCUGGUAGUCCAAUGUACUCUUAGCCAAUAAAGUCUCUCAAGUUAUUUGAAAUUCAGUGGUGCUACACUAAGCUGAACAACAAGCAAGAAUUAAUUCUCCCUUCCCAGCCCUGACUUGUUGCACAGUUACUGCACACUCCCUUUCUCCAUCCCCACCACACUUUGCGUGCUCCAGUUCAAUAUAGUCUCUCCUUACCCUGUCAGGUCCCAGCCCUGGGGCUGUGAUUUAAUGCUCCCACUGCUGCUACAUAAAUACAAGGCUUUUGCUGUAUGUGUUUGAGCUGAUCUGCCCCUCAGCUGCCUUGAGGCAAGAUUAGAGGAACAUCUACAGUGUUUGGAGGCUGCCUCUCACUGUGCUCCUAGAAAUGCUGCCUGGGGGUCAGGGCUUUUAUUUUGCUUGCUGAACAGCACAUUACGCCCUUGCACAGGAUUUUCAUUCGUUAGCUGAAAGGAAUUUGAUCAUUAGAUAAGAUUCCAUUAGUAAAUUAAUAUACUCUGUCAAGGAAUCUUGAACACAAACUUCAUCUCGGUAGGCAAAGCAAAAAUCAGGAGGAUCUCUUAGUGCAAAGAGGCCAUGAGCCCACUGUGCAGCAGCAGCAGGGGUCAGGACAACCCAGCUCAGCCUCCUGCUCCAGGUUCUGAUGGAGUUUCCUGCUGGUGACAGAUCAGUGGCAUGUGUGCCACAUAAGAUGAUAAUAUUAUAUAACCAUGAAGUGGUAGGAUUAUGGGUGUGGGGGAGAAAGAUCUCCUGGGGAGAGGGGACAUUUUGCAUCAAUCACUCCCUCCCCCAGAGCCACCCACCAACUGCGGGGAUUUUUCUGAGCACUCAAGAUGAUACAGUUUGGUACAUUUUAAUCAGUGUCUUACCCCAUCGAAUUAUGGGUGGAAACAGUGCUAAAGGAAAAGCAGAUACACAGCAAGUAGGGGCUGUGUAACAGAGCAACAGCGAUAUGCACCACAGACACCAUGAGAGAGGUUGCAGCUGCCACCUCAUGCCUUGUUUCACCCCACUGGACAAGCACUGCAUCAAGUACUAGAGCUGCAAUUAAAAAGUGGCAGAAAUCUGAAUGCUAAGAGAGCAGAGGAGCCCAGGAAAGGCCUGUGGCAAUGGGAGAUGCACAUCUUACUGACAGAUGUGAGGAAAACUAGAUCAUACUUAAGAAGGAAGAAAGUUCAUUAGAAGUGGGCUUGAGUGGGGACCUUGGGACUGCUGACAUCAUGCUGGCCAUGGCCAAGGCAGGCACAUCUCUGCUUAUGUUGGGGCUGUGCAUGAAAGCCUCAUCCCUGGGGGGGACAGCAUUGAUAACACUAAAGGCGGCAAACAAACACAGAAAUGAGAGAGGGAAGUCUGUGGUCUGUGCUUAUGUUGUAAUAAUCCCUUCUGGGCUAUAAAUCUAUCAUCUCCAAUUUUAACAAACCAUCUGAAUCUGACAGUCAUAAAACACAUCAUCUACUUUAGCUAUUUAUCCACAAAAAUGUCUUUUAUUUGUCUUGGCCACCAGAUAACCAUAGGAACACAAGAAAUAUCCUGCUGGGCAUCCAGACCCUCCACCUAUCUCAGCACACCUGUGCUCAAUCAAUUUCUGCAGCCCAUUCCCUGCUUAGUCCCUCAGAAUACACAAUUGUUGGGUCAGGUAAUAAACCUGCAGAAGCUCACUCAUGCCACAUAGAGAGAUACACCUUGCAUCUCUAAGAAAUCCAUUCCCUACAAGCUUCGUUCAGCAUCCCUUAGCUCUACCUCAGAGGGAUUUGGGGAGUAACAGCUCUGUGUUCACAGGGAUGCACUGUGGCAAGGACCACUGGGGAAAGUUGUUUUGGAGAGCAUAUGCUUAAGGGAAGGUUCUCCAUGAAAAUUCCUCCCAUAUAACUUAGACAUUCAACUGAGGUAUUUACAGCGAAGACUAAUAUCCCUAGGCUCCUUGUCUUGUCAGUGGAGAGGCUCAGCCUACCCUUGAGAGCAGUUUGAGUCCCAUGAGCACACCUCAUAACACUGCUCUCUCCUCUGAGCUGUCAUGAUGUGCUUGGUUCAUGACCACCCUCUGUGCGCAGUGGGGUGGGCGAGAAAGGAGAGACCUCUCAUGAACUAUUGAUUUUUCUGCUAGUCUUUCCUCCAGCACGGCUAAGAAAGAAGCCAUGGAGGGCUCAGAUCUCUGCUACACUGAUGAAUCCCAUCGAUUUACUCCUGCCUCGUUGUUACUGGGAGUCAAGCAAGGCAGAAAGUUUCACUCACAUGAACCAAUCUUGGGUACCAUCUAACUAUACAAAAGUACUCAUAAAAAAGUUUGUUACUUUAUGAAUUGUAUUUUUUCUCCCCCACAAAGGAAGUGCUUGUUCCUGUGAAAAUCAUUGUCAUACCUAUUCUGUGCAGUGAUAGCAUCUGCAGCUGUAAGGAUUGAAGGCAUGGGAUGAAGGUGAAUUUAGUAUAAUUCACCCAGUGAUGCUGACUGGGUCACCCUAGUAUCUCCUGAUAUAGCUGCUCUUCCUGCAGAACCACAGCAAGCACUAACCCACUCCUGCCUGUUCCUCUCCCCUUUUCCAGCCACCGCAGUACAGGAAAGUUCAGCAUACCUUUCAGCAGCACAGUGCUUCCGUGUUCACCUCCCCCAAAACCUCAUCUGCUCCUCCACCCUGCAAGGAACUAAGCUGUUAUUAGUGGGUGUUGAGAAUCUGCCGAGAAAAUCCCCUGGCCCAAAUGUUGCCUGCCCUACUAUUGAGUAACUCCAGAAAGCCUCCAGAGAAACCUGCACAGAAAGGCAGUUUGAUAAUGUAGCCAAUAUCAAGUCUGCAAGAUCUUGCAGCCUCCGUACAGAUGCCAACAAAUGGGUAAAGACAGAGCAUGUUGCAAGCAAGACAUCUGAAGAAAUAACCUGACAUGCUUUGUUCCAUGUUGCAAGCCCUUUUGUGUUUGGGCUGGUGGAAAAAUGACCAGAGAAAUAAGUAAUUUGGAAAAGGAUUCUUAAGGGUCAAACAAAACCAGGGUGACCAGGAACAGUCUAAAUAAUAAUAAUGAGCCUUAAAUGAAAUUCUGAUUAGAAGUGGCUGCAAGUUGACAUGAAGCCUAAUGUGUGGGGGCUCUCAAGUGGCCAUGGCUCACCACCACUCCUCUAAUAAUCAAUCAUUUCUCGAUAGGAGGCCAAGGAUACGCCAUGAGUUGCUACCUCUUCUGUUCCAAACAACCCACUGGAUGGGUAGCAAGCCCUGGAGUACUUUCAAUUGCAUUGCUGCCAUCUGUGCUUAUUUCCAGCAGAAGGCCUGUCUUACCUACCUUGUCUGCACUUGGCUUUUCUCUUUGCCCUCCCAGGCUAUUGGGAGCCUAGGCACAAACAAGCCUACAGGGCUAUGGAGUUGUUAAUACGAAGCUGUUUUGCUCCUUGCAAAAACCAUCACCCCGGAAAGCAGCUGCUGGAUGCUCUGCUAGUAGGAUAGUUCUGGUUCAACCCAACAGCAGCUCAGCACCACAUAUCCCCCCUCUCCCAAUUCCCACUUGGGAUGAGAGUGAGAAUUGGGGUGGAGGGGGGGAGAGGGGAAGUAAAACAGAAUUUGUGGGUUGAGGAAAAAGCUAUUUUCUAAGACAGAAAAAGAAGAGGGAAAAGAAUGAAAAAUAAUAACAAUAAUAGCUAUAUAUAUAUAUAUAUUCACACACACUUUCACAAUGUACUUUCUCACCACCUGUCAUCUGAGUGGUGCCCUGCUCCCAACACAAUGGCUCACCACCCACCCACCAACACACAGCCAGCCCCUGAGCACUGGCUGGCCCCAGCCAACUCCCCACAGUUUCCUGAUCUUUCACCAGAAAGGCAAUAAAUAGCUCUUCCUCACCAAAUCACCCAGUCCUAGUGUGCUCCCAUCACUCAGCAGCAAUCAAACCAUCAGUGUACAAUUAACAUUCCUUUUUCUGCCAAGCUACGCUCUCCACAGGAGGAGGAAAGAUCUCUUCUGUGAAUACCCCGAAUUUGUACCUGAAGCCCUCCUGGCAGGCUCCAAUAGGGAUAAAGUUCAGGUACCUAGGGGAAGGCAACAGGAAAACAGCAUCCCUCCAGCUCACUGUUCUAAUGGCAAGUAUUCCUAAAAUAAGCAACUGUUCUGGGGUAGGCAGUAAGAAAGAAGGAGACAACACAGCAGGAGACUGUCUGCUCCGAUAGGGCAGCCUCUCAGAAGCUUUGCCAAGGUUUCCCUUCAUUAGCUAAUAAGGAUAGUAGAAGCAUACAAGAGCUCCAAACUUCACCAGCUAGAAUGGAAAGACCUGGACUAGUAAGUCCUUUAACUCCCCCUAGUCAGCAGGCAUAAGGAUAAGUAGUAGCAGAGAUAGUUGCUUUAAAUCCAAGAAAGGUAGCAAUCAAAAUCUGAUAUAGAAAAGGAAUCACCUACCCCUUUCUGAGGACCAAGGCUAGCUGAACAUUCCAAAGAAGAUAAUCUCCAAGUAAAGAUCCUUCCCUCACGGCUGCCAGCCCUUACAUGAGGUGAGGUUCUGGUUGCACAGGUAAAUUGCUCACAGCUGUGCUCCCAGGGCAGGCUACGCCCCUUCACCAGGAGCUCAAUCACUGGUUCAGGCUGUGACCUAACAGUUUCUAUAUAGCAGAUCAGCAGACAGUGACAAAACUUCCUUCCUCACAGUGUGCCUCUGCACCCUGCCUGGCCACCCUUUUUUCCUGGGAGGAGCGCUGCUGCUGCUGAAGUGCUUCACUGCCCUGGGUUAGUGUGAAAGGGUCUCACGCAAACAGGACCAAUGGAACCCCCUUCCCUGGAGACACCCAAGCCAAGAGCUACUAGGCAGGCUCAUCCCAUCUGUGAAAACACAGCCUGGAAAUGUUUCCCAGAGGACAAACCCAAAUUGGAAUAGAUACAAAAUGGUAAAGAUGCCCAAGCUGAUGUUAAAAGAGGAGACUGAAAGAAACUGACUUAUUUAGCUUGAUGAACUGAAGAACGGAGGAGACACAAAUGCUCUCCUGGGCAGUGACGUUGUGUUCAAUCUGAGCCCCAGGGGAUGGGGUGAACAAGAGAGAAAACACAGGGCCAGAACCAACUUUCAUAGAGUCUGAGGCUGAUGAGUGACGUGACUAGAAGAGACUGACAACUGUUCCUUUAAGGGUUUCUGGAAAUAAGGAUUUUAUAUGUCAUUUUAAUAACGUCGUAAUCAAGGUUGGCACACUUGAAUCUACAACAAGGGAAAAGAAAAGGCCUUUCCAAGGGUUUGGUUUCUCUGCCCUCUAUCCUUGUGAUCACUGGGAGAAUCAGUGUUUGUGGUUUGUCACGGCUUCUCAUGACAGCUUCCUUGGCAGCGAGCUUGGAAAGAGUUCCUGGCUCUGCUCAUGCGGAGAUGGCCUCUGCACAGAGCAAAAAGAUACCUCCUGCAUCUGAUGGAUCACCUGGAGACAGCAGUAACAGCAUUCUGCUAAUUGUUAAACCUGCCAUGUCAGCACCACCUGGCUUUCCCAGGCAGAAGGCAGCCACGGAGCUCUGCUCCCUGUACCCUCUGCAAAAAAGUGAGCACAGAGAUCAGUUUUGUGUGGUGGGUCCCUAAGGACGGACAACACAGCAGGAGGGAGUGGAAAUCACCAACUUCUAACUGGUUUCUACUCUUGAGCACGAGAGAAUGGAAAACGCCAGUCUGCCCCGCGUGAUUAAUUCUGCAACCUAACUAGCAAUUGCUUCAUACUAAAUGGGAACAAGUUUUCUUUAAUUAACAUUAAUUUCCAUUAGGAUGCCACCACAGAGAGCUCAUUCCAGAUCCCUUGUCUCUGUGGAGGGGACCAGGCAUCACAUUUCUGCUGUUCUGUGGGACUGAGGAGGGCUUGCGCUUUGCAAAGGGCUGAUGCACCCCUCCUCGAGGAGGCUGGCACAGGGGCUAAGGGCUGCACCAAUUGUUUCUGCACUGAACUUUAGGUGCCCAGCUGUUCCAAGUCUUUCUGACAACUUGGCAGCACCCACUAAAACCUUCCCAGGCUGCUGGGCUUAGAGUAUCACAGAGCUGCCAGGCCCUUCUCUUUGGAUCCGAUUCAGUGCUUUGAGUGCCCUCACACACUGCCAUGCAGAUGUGGAGGAAUACAGCUGUGUCAGGUGAAAUUUAGCAGGCACACUCCCAAUGAAUUCAAUGGGAAUGGAUCCGGGCCAUUGCAUUUCUCAGCCAAUGAUUUUGCAAAAGGGCAUGAAGUUCGGACUGCAAAAAAAAGAAAUGCUAAAACAGCAUUUGAACACUCAAUGGAAAUAUUUCCUUUUGAAUUAUCACAAAGCAAGAGCAAGAAGAAAUAUCACAAAAUGAAGGAAGAGUGAAGAUGAAAUCUCCAACUUGAAAAAAACUUCCACAAAGCAGCUUGAAUAUUUCUAAGGCAAAUCCAAACCUCUGGGUCAACUUACAGUUCAGAAAAUGAAGUAGGAAGGUAUCUGAUUGUGCUGCAAGUAUAAAUUCCCCUGAGAUGCACAGAAAACAACUGACACAUCUUCAUUUGCAGGGGUCUGUUGUUUGCCUGCUUCUAAGGAGGUAAUUGUUCACUCUCUGAUUUUCCUAACAUCCCCGUUGGAGGUUUAGGUGCCUCAUCAUCCAGAAUGCUGGGGAGGCAGAAGUGGCAAACUCGUCUUUGCUUUGGGGUUCUGUCAGCAUUCUGGCUCAUGAGGAUGAGUAUCUUCAGGGCAGUAAAUUAACCCAAGAUACUCUCUGGCUUUCUGUUUAGCCAAAGUAUGUUCAGUAAACUGGCACCAGAGUGGAGAGGCACUGGAUUCAAUACAGAAGGAAAUGAGUAUGAGUAAGUGUGAAAAAGCUUUUGUAUUUUUUGCAAAAUAAUGAAAAUCCCGGUACAAUAAAUAAGUAUAAUCAAAUUUUCCUCCAGCAGUCUGUUGCUAUGAUUGCUUUUCUGCCAAUAAGCACUACAGACUACAUUCCAGUGUAAUGCAGAGAAAAAUAAAGGUCUUUUGAAUGCUUUGUGUUAAUAAGGGACAUGAGAGAAUGGGAAGCCAUGCUGUUUGUCACCAGCUACCUUAAUCUCUGUGCUCUUACGGCCUUGAAUUCCCUGACCCUUACACCUUAGCUGCAAGGACAGGCAGUGCUGCAGUCUUCAUUCCAUGGGAGAGAAGCACAGCAGGGAGACAGGGAGCUCUGCCGUGCAGCACCUGAGCAGUGUGCUCCAUUCCUUUGCAAGGAGCUCCUGCCCCUUUGGCAGCAGUGGCCUGCAGGACAAGACCAGCAGCUGGUGAGAGAGGUGCUGGUAAGCCCUCUCUUUGCGUUUUGCUAUCUGAUCCCCAUAUCAGGUUGAAGUCAUGUCAAAAUAAUACAGGAAAAUAUAGAAACAAAAACACACUGCUCAGUGAUAAAGGAAACAUCAAGAUCCAUUCUGCUAUUCUGCAUUUUGUCAUAGCUCAGCGCUCAGUUCUGUACUUCUUCAAGCCAGUUGAAGUCAAUGAAUUCCUACUGGCUUGCUUAACCAGGCUAGACCCAGGGUCAGAGAAUUUCAGGCCCCCUUCAGUCUAUUGAACCGGGUGACCUAUUUCAGUGCUUCAGAGCAAGUUCAGACCUCUUGGUGCCGGUAGGAAAGGAGAUAGCUUAGAAACAUUUCCUCCUGUUCUGUAAAUAAGUUGUUGCCUCAGCAGCUGUUGGAAGCAGCACAACUUCAACUCUAUUUUAUUUCAGUAUGCUUAAUACAUGUCGUUGUUGGUUAUUCAGAGUACAUAUAGUGCUAUGGGAGCUAUGCAGACUGUGAGGAGAAUCUAUGAAUAUCAGUCCCUUGGUAUAUGACAAAUUCAGUGUUGAGGCAUUUGCUCAGAUAUAUUACCUGAGUAAUUGCUCCAAUGAAGAUAUGAAUUAGUUUGGCUUCAUACAUUUUCUUUUCUCUUAUUAAUGUUCUAGAAAAUGAAAUUCCUGAUAUAUGUUUGCAUUGGCACAACUUUUAAAUUAAUUCAUCCAAAAAAAUACAUCCCUGGAAUAAACACCUACAUUCAGUGAUCAACCCAAACAGAUCAGAAUUCCCCUCGGAUCAUCAUGUCCCAUCAGCUCCCCCACAAAGUUCAAGCAGAAAGCUAACAAAACACCUAGAGACAAAGAAUCACACUAGAGGCAUAGUCAUAAAAAAUAUUAACCCCUCUGAGAUUUUCCUCAAGAGGACUACUUGUUCACUGUGCAAAAAAUAGAGGAAGAUUUGCCAGAUAAACUAGUCCUUUUAAAAUGAGCACUCAGCAUAAAAGACGUAGUCAUGGUGUGAAUUACCAGCAUUCAGUCAUCGUCCCUGGAGGUGCUCAAGAAGAGGGUAGGACGUUGCAUUGAGUGACAUGGUUUAGUGGUAUGGUGGUGAUGGGUUGAGGGUUGGACUAGAGGAUCUUAGUGGCCUUUCCAACCCUAAUGACUAUGUAUUUCCAUAGUAUUCAUAAAGAAAUGUGUAGGCUUACGUAGAGGGCAAGUGUUGCCUAAAUAAGAGACCAGCUGCAUAACUACACUGAACUAGAUACUGAAAUCUUUGCUGACUUGUACAGAUUUCACAUAUACUUUCCAGAAAACGUUACAAUUAUUUUCAAGUACAUUUUGCAUUUAUUUUAAUGACAUAUCCAAUUAGAAUAAAAAAGUAAGUGAAUGCCCCAUUUCACUAGCCCAUGGAACACCUAUGAGAUGGAUGAAUAUUUCCACCCAAAGGGCACCUAUGAGUUGAAGUGAACGAUUCCUUACUGCAAGGUCUCGUUUUCCUUUCCCCAGCUUAUUUGUAGGCUGAUCCAAGGGGCUCAGAAUCACUUGGCUAAAGCCUCCCCCGUAGAUCUCAGAAGAUAAAGGGCUGCAGCAACCCCGGCUGGCAAUCUAUAAGCAAGAUACUCUAUUCUCAUUCCAAGUCUCACAAGAUAGUUAAUUAAGCUUCCUCCACUUUCCUGAGAAUUAGACUAGUUCAGAAAAGGCCUUUUUGCUUAUAGUAAUCACACACACAAAUAAUCUUGGUUUCCCCACACUGUUCCUCUCUUCUCCACACACACUAACAAAAAAAAAAAAAAAAAGAGAGGAAGAAAAAAAAGAAAAAUUGUAGGAAAUA
Long non-coding RNA from Numida meleagris (helmeted guineafowl), 13000 nucleotides. RefSeq lists it as uncharacterized. The transcript is spliced from 3 exons. The record is from RefSeq and is a predicted model, not a curated record. NCBI's taxonomy places the organism in Eukaryota, Metazoa, Chordata, Aves, Galliformes, Numididae.